Unclassified non-coding RNA from Cavia porcellus (domestic guinea pig), 68 nucleotides. NCBI's taxonomy places the organism in Eukaryota, Metazoa, Chordata, Mammalia, Rodentia, Caviidae. The record is from Ensembl.
UUGAUCUUUUCUAUUUUGCAAUCACUCACAGAGGGUGGGGCAGGAGGAAGAGUGAAGGAAAAGGUCAA